GUGUGCACCAUGGCCUGGACGCCUCUCCUCCUCGUGUUCCUCUCUCACUGCACAGGUUCCUUCUCCCAACCUGUAGUGACUCAGCCGCCCUCCAUCUCUGCAUCUCCGGGAGCCACAGCCAGACUCACCUGCACCCUCAGCAGUGACACCAGUGUUGGCAACUCUGUUAUAUCCUGGCACCAGCAGAAGCCAGGGAGCCCUCUCCGGUAUCUCCUGUCCUACUACUCAGACUCAAGCAAGGACCAGGGCUCUGGGGUCCCCAGCCGCUUCUCUGGAUCCAAGGAUGCCUCGGCCAAUGCAGGGCUCCUGACCAUCUCUGGGCUUCAGCCUGAGGACGAGGCCGACUACUACUGUCUGUCUGUUGAUAGUAGUGGUAAUCACACAGUGCUGCAGACUCAGGGGGAAGUGACACCAAAACCCCCAGAGCUUCCCUUUCUGAGUCUGCACUCAGCCUGUCCCCACUAA
Molecule: non-coding RNA, 465 nt
Organism: Phyllostomus hastatus (greater spear-nosed bat)
Lineage: Eukaryota; Metazoa; Chordata; Mammalia; Chiroptera; Phyllostomidae
Source: the annotation of a RefSeq genome assembly